CUAAGAUAUUAUUUUAAUGUAUAAAGGAGAGAGACGGAACGUCACUGGGGAUGGAGAGCUGACGGACACCCAAUCAUCACCCUAAGAAAGGGAUCUGGACCCUUCGUGGCAAUCUCCACUCCCUACUCCAUUUCUGGGGUUCUCUCAAACCCCACCCUCUCCCACCCCCACCACUCAUGUUUCUUCCAUAAUCCAAUGUUUAAAUCCAUGGAUAUGGAAUAGCAUUAAUGAUUUCUGAGAGUCUCUGACAAGUCUGUGAUUUUCAGAAUGACCACUAUUGCUGCUUGGGCCAUAAUUUAACUCUAAUUAAAACUAAGAUUGGUGCUGUAUUUUUCUGUGCAAGAGAAAAGCACAGAACAUGAGAAAUUCUUUUUUCUUUCCAGUAAACAUUGUCAUACUUAAAGAAAAAGAGAGCACUAUUGAAGGGACUUUGGACAUGGAGAGCUAGAAGUUCCAUUAAAGUCAGUUUGAACCUGUAUAGCAUGUUCCAUUGUAAAGAAGAAAAAGAAAUGGGCUUAAUUUGCUGCUGCAAAGAGUCGUUCACCUAGCUCCUCAUUCAAGGAAUUGACGCUAUUACCAUGAGAAGUCAUGAAAUGUAUCUGGGGACUGACUCAUCUGGGGCUCCCUGAGAUAGGCUCCGGAGCUCUCUGAAAAUCUGGAUAACAAUUUGGGACCUGUGGCCAUCUCAAAGUUCUUGUCUGUGACCAGUAUGUCUGGGCAGAGCACAAAGAGUAUCAGCAUUCAUCUUGGUUGAUUGGGAGCCCUGAACACACUGAGUCUGCUUCAAGCAAGAUGAGCAGUUCUCACUUCAUGGGCACCUCUUCACUUCCUGCUAGAGCCUUCCAGCAUGACAUCAUAGAGUGAUCACUGCCUUCACUUCCUUUGGCUGAAGCCCAUCUGCUGUAUCUUCUUUGAAGGCAAAGAAGCUAUUUUAAUAAAGCCCAAGGAGGUUAUGCAAAAGGUGAAUUUAUUUAAAGCUUAAAUUUCAGAGAACCUGCAGGAAGACCAAGGAGGUUAGCAAGAAAUUAUUUCUGCUCCAGAAUGUGGGCUCUGUUUUCAGAUCAUCUAAGAGAACCUAGCAAUCUAGACUUGGUGUAAAUCUGAAAAUCAUUCCAAUCUUGCAUCUUAACCUUUAGUUUGUAAUCCCUAAGGGAACUUAGUC
Molecule: long non-coding RNA, 1162 nt
Filed under: Callithrix jacchus (white-tufted-ear marmoset)
Lineage: Eukaryota; Metazoa; Chordata; Mammalia; Primates; Cebidae
Description: lncRNA (ENSCJAG00000082896.1)
Source: RNAcentral